GUAGAGAUGGGGUUUUACCAUGCUGCCCAGGCUGGUCUCGAACUCCUGACCUCAAGUGACCUGUCCACCUUGGCCUCCUAAAGUGCUGGGAUUACAGGUGUGAGCCACCGCGCCUGGCCCAUAUGCUAAAUUUAUUAGAACCCCCAAGCCUGGCCAAAGGCCUCACUCCUAAGAUUCUGGUGGCAAUGCCAGCAUACACUGGGCUCAGAGGAGGUCUUCAGAUACCAGGAGGAUUACUCUAAUUCAACGCAGAAAUGUUGUGAAACUGCUUUAUAUUCUGUCUAGCACAAGCAAGUGGGGGUUACUAUUUUUGUAAUCAUUAUAAGAGCCUUCAACUAUAUAAUUUUGGGAAGUGGUGAUAAAAAACAGAGUACUUCUCCCUUGAAUUCUACCAGCCCCAAACUUUCAUUAACAUCCAAUUAAUUUUCUUAAAAAAGUUCAGCAUGAAACUCUCUGCAGCACUUUGGCACAGUAGUAUCUAUGCAUUUGGAAUGACACAGUAAUUUCUUAUCCUAGGGAAAAAAAAUUACUCUGUCAAAAUGAAUCUUUUAGCCUAAGAUGAACUGGUUCCAUUUCUCAUUUCUCUUUUCUCAAGGUUAUUGGGUUGCUGAACUCCCAUGAACCAAAAAGAAAACACUGAAUGGUAUCCAAACCAGCCUGGAAAGGACAGCGAGAAAAGCCAGAACCAAGGCUGACCAGCCUGAAUGCUGGUAAAUGUUAUCAAGAAUCUGGAGCAGGAGCCUCAGUCUCCUAUCAAAAGGAGAAGAACCUGAAGAAAACACUUCUCUUCCUUCUCUCUGCCUAGGGGCAGUGACCUUGGAUUCAACCACCAUCAUCCCUUCCAGACACCAGAGGGGGGAGUCCCACAAGGCAGAAGGUGCCCCUGUGACCCAUCCACUUCUCUUCCAUGUUCUUUACCUCCUUGCUCAGGAAGCCAUAAAGUUGAGCUGAGUGGAAGGUGAAUUUCAUUGCAAAGUUUACACAGGCUCUGCUGACAGGUUCAUGAAAACACUACUGAAUAUGUUACAUACCACCAAGGCUCACAGCACAUCCUGUGUUGGAAGUGAUACUUUUCCAUUACCAGUAAACCUCCUUUUGUCCUAGGAGCUCACUGAACAGCUAAAAUCAGGUGAUAUUUUUAUGUGGAACAUGCAACGUAUUAAGUCCUUUUGCUCAGUGACCCAAAAAGGAACUAAACGGUACCCAGACUAGAAAUCAAUGUCAAAUUAUUCAAAUAAAUUCCACUUAAAGAAUGGUGGUUUGGAAAGCGCUCAGUCAGAAAGAAUUCUCCCAAGAUUAGUUUACUGUGAAGUAGAAGGGAAGAACGUUUUAACUUUGGUUGGAAAUCUGAUGACAUUACAUAGAAGGUGAUGAAACAUCCUCUAAGAAACGGUUCUGAUCCAUUGUAUGGCACCCCCCUCUCACAUUCCCCCAUUUUACCCACUAAAGAAGUUCUUUUACAAGAGGCUAAGGAAACCAAGCAAUAUAAGAUCUAAUCAAAACUGAGUGCUGGAAAUGUGUGGGGAGAAAUCCAUAAUUAAACUGAGCAAUUAACUCCAGAAAGUUAACUGGGGCCAACUCUGACACUGCUAUAAAGUUAUAAAAUCUCCAGCAUCUCAUUUCUUUGUCCCUCUACCCAAUUUCCCCUCAAAGGUAAGCCUCUCUUUCUCUCUCCUCUCUUCUUCAUAUUUAAUAAAACUGUUUGCCAGAAAGGAAAGAAUCUUAGGUUAGUCAUUUACACUUUAGUGCGAAUUAAAGCCAGUGUGUCAACUCUCACAGGAAUGAGAAUUUCAAGCCAUACUUCUAAUUGUGGAAUGGCUGUCAUUGAAUUCUUUUAAGGGUAUUUCAUGGAACAACUAAAUAUAAGGAAGAGGAGAGAAACUGCCCAAGUCUGCCUAUGCCUAAAGUCAGCCUUAAGUUCAAUCUUGAGGGUGACAGCUUUCAUCUGCCACUCCCAAUUGAAAGUGAAUUCAGAUUAAUUCCUAGAUGUUUGUUUGUUGUUUUUUUUUUUUUUUUUUUUUUUUUUUUUUUUUUUUUGGGACGGAGUCUCGCUCUGUCGCCCAGGCUGGAGUGCAGUGGCGGGAUCUCGG
This 2090-nucleotide long non-coding RNA is filed under the name Homo sapiens (human). RNAcentral describes it as "HSALNT0193171". The record is from RNAcentral. Lineage: Eukaryota; Metazoa; Chordata; Mammalia; Primates; Hominidae.